Molecule: ribosomal RNA, 529 nt
Filed under: uncultured soil bacterium
Lineage: Bacteria
Description: bacterial SSU rRNA
Rfam family: Bacterial small subunit ribosomal RNA
Source: RNAcentral
AGAACGAACGCUGGCGGCGUGCCUAACACAUGCAAGUCGAACGAGAAACCUCGGCUUCGGUUGAGGAAGUAAAGUGGCGCACGGGUGAGUAACGCGUGAGUAACCUACCCCGCUUGACUGGAAUAACGUCGGGAAACUGGCGCUAAUACCGGAUGAAAUCCCGGGUUGCAAGGCUACGGGAUCAAAGGAGGCCUCUCCAUGGAAGCUUCCACAAGGGGAUGGGCUCGCGUCCCAUUAGCUAGUUGGUAGGGUAAAAGCCUACCAAGGCGACGAUGGGUAGCCGGCCUGAGAGGGUGUCCGGCCACACUGGAACUGAAACACGGUCCAGACUCCUACGGGAGGCAGCAGUGAGGAAUUUGCGCAAGUGGGCGAAAGCCUGACGCAGCGACGCCGCGUGGCGAUGAAGCUUCUUGGAGUGAAAGCCCUGUCAGGUGGAACGAAUCCGGAGGUGACAAAUAGUGCCGUUUCGCUGACGUACCACCAGACGGAAGCCCGCUAACUCCGUCGCCAGUACGCCGACGGUAAUCUA